This 464-nucleotide ribosomal RNA is filed under the name uncultured bacterium. RNAcentral's name for it is "partial 16S ribosomal RNA". It matches the Rfam family "Bacterial small subunit ribosomal RNA", at positions 28 to 503 of the family's 1533-position model. The record is from RNAcentral.
GACGAACGCUGGCGGCGUGCUUAACACAUGCAAGUCGAACGGAAAGGCCCUGCUUUUGUGGGGUGCUCGAGUGGCGAACGGGUGAGUAACACGUGAGUAACCUGCCCUUGACUUUGGGAUAACUUCAGGAAACUGGGGCUAAUACCGGAUAGGAGCUCCUGCUGCAUGGUGGGGGUUGGAAAGUUUCGGCGGUUGGGGAUGGACUCGCGGCUUAUCAGCUUGUUGGUGGGGUAGUGGCUUACCAAGGCUUUGACGGGUAGCCGGCCUGAGAGGGUGACCGGCCAAGUGGGGAGGGGAAGCCGGCACGGCCCCCAGGGGGGGGAGGGAGGGGGAAAUUUUCAAAAAGGGGGGGAGCCUGGAGCAAGCCCCGCGGCGGGGGGGGGGGCGUCUUGGGGGUGGAAACCCGUUUCCCCGUGGAAGGGGGCGGGGGGGGCGGAAAUGGAAAAAAAAGCCCCGGAAAACUA